This 119-nucleotide ribosomal RNA is filed under the name Lepisosteus oculatus (spotted gar). The record is from RNAcentral. Lineage: Eukaryota; Metazoa; Chordata; Actinopteri; Semionotiformes; Lepisosteidae.
GCCAGCAGCCAUAUCACCCUGCAAUUCACAGCUGGCAACCCUGUGAUGUUCAGCAGGUGUGAGCCUGGUCAGUACCUGGAUGGGAGACCUCCUGGGAAAAACUAAGGUUGCUGCUGGAA